RNAcentral lists this ribosomal RNA (498 nucleotides) under uncultured bacterium. Its description in RNAcentral is "partial 16S ribosomal RNA". It matches the Rfam family "Bacterial small subunit ribosomal RNA", at positions 28 to 507 of the family's 1533-position model. The record is from RNAcentral.
GACGAACGCUGGCGGCGUGCCUAAUACAUGCAAGUCGAACGAGAGCGACCGGUGCUUGCACUGGUCAAUCUAGUGGCGAACGGGUGAGUAACACGUGGGUAACCUGCCCAUCAGAGGGGGAUAACAUUCGGAAACGGAUGCUAAAACCGCAUAGGUCUUCGAACCGCAUGGUUUGAAGAGGAAAAGAGGCGCAAGCUUCUGCUGAUGGAUGGACCCGCGGUGCAUUAGCUAGUUGGUGAGGUAACGGCUCACCAAGGCCGUGAUGCAUAGCCGACCUGAGAGGGUGAUCGGCCACAUUGGGACUGAGACACGGCCCAAACUCCUACGGGAGGCAGCAGUAGGGAAUCUUCCGCAAAGGACGCAAGUCUGACGGAGCAACGCCGCGUGAGUGAAGAAGGUGUUCGGAUCGUAAAACUCUGUUGUUAGAGAAGAACAAGUGCUAGAGUAACUGUUAGCGCCUUGACGGUAUCUAACCAGAAAGCCACGGCUAACUACGUG